This 380-nucleotide long non-coding RNA is filed under the name Citrus sinensis (sweet orange). RNAcentral describes it as "long non-coding RNA (CSIN_LNC002799)". The record is from RNAcentral. Lineage: Eukaryota; Viridiplantae; Streptophyta; Magnoliopsida; Sapindales; Rutaceae.
ACGGACGACAAAUACUCCAAAAAGGAGCCCGUUUCGGGGAGUUCGACGGACUCAACGUCCCACAAAAUCCAAUUCUUGGUGGACCCAGUAUGAGGCUCGUCAUGAGUCAACGAGUUCCUCCACGGUGGCGUGCCGCCGUUUGCACGUAAAAACUUACCGCACCAACUUUUGAGCUUGAUUUGAAAGCCGUCUCUGAUGGGCUCCCACUGAAAUAUCCAGUCCAUGUUCUUUUCUUCAGGAACAGCUUGGACAACUUUGUUGCCAGUCAUGCCCAGCAGAAACGGAAUAUUAGAAGCCGUCAAGUACUUGCCGUAGCAGCUCCUGAGACGAAUAACGUUGCCUUUGUUCUCAACUAACUCGACUAUCCAUGUUGCUUUUUU